This 1027-nucleotide long non-coding RNA is filed under the name Mus pahari (shrew mouse). RNAcentral's name for it is "lncRNA (MGP_PahariEiJ_G0004176.1)". Lineage: Eukaryota; Metazoa; Chordata; Mammalia; Rodentia; Muridae. The record is from RNAcentral.
GCCGUUCAGUGGCAGCUUCGUGCUAAGAACCUGAGGUGGACAGCAAACUCAAAGAUGGAGUCUCACGAGUCCUCCCGAAAUUUGUAGAGGAUACAAAUUUGUUUUCCAAAACUCCGUUACUAGCUCAGUUUCAGAGCUAGGCAUCAGUGGGUGGCAGAAGAGCCAGCCCACAGGGCCAGACAGCCUUGGGACACAACACCACCAACUCUGGAAGGACUCAGCUGGGACCCACAGGAAUGAGUUCAGAACAGUUCCCGAGGCCAACUGGGCGGUUGCUGUCAGGUGAUCAAAUAGCUGAGACGACUUUGUCGAAAGUUCCACCGACUGGGUGUGUUGGUACACACUUUUAAUUUCAGCAUUCUGGAGGCAGGGCCAGGUGGACCUCUUGGCUUACAAAAACCUCAAAUUUAAUCAGUGUCCUGCUGUUCAAAGGUAUUUUGAAAUGUGCCAAAUCUUAAUUGAUGUGGAAGUGCCUGGAACCAGAGUUAAUACCUGGAGCAACAGGGAGCCCAAAUUAUGGAGGUCGGUUACUUCCAUACAGGCUCACCUUCAGCAAAGCUCAGAUGGCAGUUAUUCUUCGAUAUGAAGAGACACAUUGAGUGCAUAUUGUGACUUUGGUCUGAAUAAGAAAAAGGAACCCAGUAACCCGUGGUCGCUGGCAGCUACAAUGCAGAACUCUCAGCUCAUUUUGCAUCGUGCCUGCCUAGAUGUUACCCUGCUGCCACCAUGAAAAUGAUGGACUGAACCCCUGAACCUGUGAGCUAGCCCCAAUUAAAUGUUGUUCUUUAUAAGACUUGCCUUGGUCAUGGUGUCUGUUCACAGUAGUAAAACCCUAACUAAGACAUCAUUGAAGAUGAAGAUGAGAGACCAACUAAACAUUGCAAAUCUAGCUAUGCAAGCCACCAGUCACUGUUUGUUGUGUCUUAUUUAUACUCCCUCCAAACAACAUUCGUCCUCCCAUGGGUCUUGCCUCAGCCAAACACUAUAUGAGUCUGUCUUAGCAAAACUCCAUGUGAGUCUAUAUCAG